ACGCUGGCGGCGUGCCUAAUACAUGCAAGUAGAACGCUGAAGGAGGAGCUUGCUUCUCCGGAUGAGUUGCGAACGGGUGAGUAACGCGUAGGUAACCUGCCUGGUAGCGGGGGAUAACUAUUGGAAACGAUAGCUAAUACCGCAUAAGAGUAGAUGUUGCAUGACAUUUGCUUAAAAGGUGCAAUUGCAUCACUACCAGAUGGACCUGCGUUGUAUUAGCUAGUUGGUGGGGUAACGGCUCACCAAGGCGACGAUACAUAGCCGACCUGAGAGGGUGAUCGGCCACACUGGGGCUGAGACACGGCCCAGACUCCUACGGGAGGCAGCAGUAGGGAAUCUUCGGCAAUGGACGGAAGUCUGACCGAGCAACGCCGCGUGAGUGAAGAAGGUUUUCGGAUCGUAAAGCUCUGUUGUAAGAGAAGAACGAGUGUGAGAGUGGAAAGUUCACACUGUGACGGUAUCUUACCAGAAAGGGACGGCUAACUACGUGCCAGCAGCCGCGGUAAUACGUAGGUCCCGAGCGUUGUCCGGAUUUAUUGGGCGUAAAGCGAGCGCAGGCGGUUAGAUAAGUCUGAAGUUAAAGGCUGUGGCUUAACCAUAGUACGCUUUGGAAACUGUUUAACUUGAGUGCAAGAGGGGAGAGUGGAAUUCCAUGUGUAGCGGUGAAACGCGUAGAUAUAUGGAGGAACACCGGUGGCGAAAGCGGCUCUCUGGCUUGUAACUGACGCUGAGGCUCGAAAGCGUGGGGAGCAAACAGGAUUAGAUACCCUGGUAGUCCACGCCGUAAACGAUGAGUGCUAGGUGUUAGACCCUUUCCGGGGUUUAGUGCCGCAGCUAACGCAUUAAGCACUCCGCCUGGGGAGUACGACCGCAAGGUUGAAACUCAAAGGAAUUGACGGGGGCCCGCACAAGCGGU
This 916-nucleotide ribosomal RNA is filed under the name uncultured bacterium. RNAcentral describes it as "bacterial SSU rRNA". It matches the Rfam family "Bacterial small subunit ribosomal RNA", at positions 33 to 933 of the family's 1533-position model. The record is from RNAcentral.